ACAACGCGUUUGUUCGGUGAUUACACAGUGUAAAGGGUGUUGAUUUAAUAGUAUCAGAAAGCGGUAGACGCGUGGGGAUUGUGAUUUUCCGAUACGAGACUGUCUAUCGUUAAUACACAUGGAAGGAGAACACGUGGAAUACCUCUUACAAAUAUGUUCUUUACGAGAGGACGAGAAUUCUAUCAGCGAUUGCGAGGAAUUUUAAACGAUCUGAGGACACAUAGAGGUAGCAGGAGCAUGGAGCAAUUUUUACAUUGCCUUAAUAUCCGUUUAUACUGGAUCGAGGCUCGCAUCAGGCACGACCGAUCCCUCUUCCCUCUUGGUCGAAGAAAUUUCGCCACGCUACCAUGGAAGCAGUUGGCGCGAUCUGUGAGCAAAAUCUUCCGGGGCUGUUCGAGAAGGAGAGGAAAGUAAAGGAAGAAUGAAGAGGGAAAGAGGAGAAAGAAAGAGGUUCGCUCGUGCGACGAGGUAUACAAGGUUGUAGCAUGGUACCGGUUACAUGCAGCCGGCUGUAAUAGGGUGAGAGGAGCCGUAGGGUGAGCAGCCUCGGACUUGACUAAUGAGGCGGCGCGUCCUCGACGUUAUUAGAUCGCCGAAAGAGUUUUUGAGGAUGGCCCGGCUCCGUCCAUGGACGAAUCCACCGCGAAGGAUGGGUAAUGAUACGGCUGGACCCCGUUUCUUAUUUGUCAAACGUCAGCCGCAAAGACGUUGCCCGGUUGUUUUCGGGCCAGAAGGAAGUCUUGCCUCUUCUCGGAAUGAUAAUCUACUUGCAAAUGCGACCGUCUAUCUUUCUUUCUCUUCUACCGCAACACGUUCCUCUCUCCGUUUCUCUUGUUCAUGCCGUGUUUGUUCUGGCCGCUGUGUAACGGGGAUGAAGGAACGUUGAAGGAAGCUGGGCCACGUCGCUUUCCGCAGCCUCUGUUACGUAAUUAUCAAUAAUCACCAGGUUAAGGGACACGUCGGGGGAGGGAGGAAAGGGAAACGGAGCUGGUAGCUUGAAAUUAAGCGUUUCCACGCGAGGCGGUUUUCUUUAUCAUGUAGAUUGCUCGAGGGAAUUAGUUUGUUGGUUAAAUCACACGACGGUAUAAUAGAAUUCUCGAUGAAUUUUCAAUAGAUAAUGAAUCAUAUUUUUGGUAAUAAGUACGUUAAUUGUUGAGAAACGAAAGGUAUGCGAGCAAGUCGUCGUUCCGAGACGGGCAACGUUGUGUCGGUACUCGCUGCACCUUAAUUAACGUUUUAAUUGUAUCCUUCAUGUAUGAACAGUGGCCGUUCCACUCUGUGAUGCACACUAACAAACCUAAUUUCCGUCUGAAGAACGAAACCGCGUUCUUAUCUGCCAACACGUCGCUGAACAUGCUUACUGAUUUCGUUAUUUCAUUCUGGAAUUAAUUCAUUCUUAUCUUUCUUGUUACGAAGCUUCUGAUCAUAUUCAAGUCCGAAACCUAUGAUCGUUGAUGAGAUUCGUCGCGAGACCCAAAUAAUCCCCCACAUGGAUGGAAGUUAACGAAACAGGAAACGAGGUAUAUUAAACGGGUAGAUCGAAAGAAGAAACGAAGAAGAAACUCGAGGAUAAGGAGUGGGACGAGGUCGUGAAUGUAGUGGGAAAAGGGGAGAAAGAAAAGAAAAGAGAAUAAAAUAAAAUAAAAAGAAAAAAAAAAGAAAAAGAGGAGAAGCGAGUCGAAAAGGGCAGCCGUGGCAGAGCCGCUUUCGCCUCGGCGAAUGAAAUUGCCCCGGCAAUCGGUGGUUGCUUAUUAGCGUUUGACGUUCGAUUAGUCAAGUGCACCGUCCAAGAUCCGCCGUUUGAAGGCUCCGUGGCUCCUCCCAUUACCGGUUCCCGUGGGUCCUGUUCAUCGGCCAACAACCACGCGUCCACCAGGCGACCGGGCACAACCGGGCACGUAGCAUCAUCAUUCUUCUGCCAUCCGAGAGAAAAGAGAGUCUUUCGCGUUCUCCGAGGUUUGCGCGGGCAUACCUUGUAAUUACGUUAACCGUACUACUGCCAGCAAGGUAAUAGCACGAAUUAGUUGCACUUCAAUGUUUCCUUCGAUGCGUUCGAAAUCUUCUUCGCCAGUCUUUUCUCUUUGUAUACUUUACCGCAUUCCACGGCUUCGUCCACCAUCUCUUGCGAUACUUUUUCCCUCCGGUCACGCUGACAUCCAGAGAUUAGGAGAGUUUCUUGUACGCUUUCUGAAUCCUCUUAGGCGGAGGAGGUUCUGCUGCUUCUUUUAUCAUCUUCUUUCGUUUAAUUUAACGAGAGGCCUUUUCCAAUCGUAAUCGUCUACAAAUAUUUGCAAUAAUAUUUCAAUAUCCCUUGCCAAUCUAUGCUCAAGCACUCCCCAGGUCUUCUUAGAUCGUUGUUCGUGGAAAACAGACAAGAUUCCGUCCUGAAAGAAGGUAAUUUAUAGCUGGGAACGGGGAAAAAAGCUCAGCUUCCCGGAGUACAACGCGUUAUUAAUACGUUUUAAAGAAAUGUCCAAGAUUAAUUUGCGAAACGAGUCGCUAUUGAAGUUCUUGCCCGCGGCCUCAUUAAUCUUAUCCAGAGAGCAGGGAGACAGAGAGGGGUGGAGGGAAAAAAAUUAUUUUGUAGAAUGUUCGGUGUAAUAACAGGGAAUCCUGUCGCCGGCACGCCUAGCCAGGGAACACCGUCCCACUAUUAAUUCAUGUCUCAAGUUUUCAAGUAAGAAAUUAAUGUCUCCAUACGUGAUUCGUGGAUCCCCGUGGCCGACUCUUGUUCUUUCUUCAGGGUGGUUCGUUGUUGAAAAGUUUCCACUCGAACGAUAUUAAUAUGUCUGAGUAUUUCGUUGAGCGCGAAACUUCUUUAAGAAAAAAAAAAAAAAGAAAAAAGGAAAAGAAGGAAAGUAAGCUUUCUUCCACGUUCACUUGGUGCUAUUUUAAUAAUAAUAAAUCGAAGAUAAAAGAAUGAAAAAUAUUAAAUGAUAUUGACGCGAAUUCUUUGUCCGGUAAAACGAAGAACAGCCACGUCAUUAAUCACUGUACGCGUUGUCUCUUAAGAAACACUUUUCUUUGUCAACUGGACGUAUUUAUUCGACGCUUGAGGUAGCCGAGCAUCGCGGUAGGUAGAUCCUGGUUGCGUAGGAGGAUCGCAGCUGGACGAGCGUACGAAAAGCUCGAUCCAAUGGGAAGCAAGUAACCAGAGAAGAGUUUUAAUUCCAUGGUCCGAACGUCGUGGGUUUAUGUACGGUUCGCUCUGGUGGCGUUCUUUUUGAAAAAGCGAACGCCGAGAUAAUGGAACGUAAUGUAGCGUGAACCAGCGCCGCUACCUUGCUUCAGCUUUUAAACGCGUCGCGAAUAUCUACACCGGGUGUUCCUCAAAUAAAGCGCAAUAUCGAAUUUUACUGUACAAUUUUUCUAACGACGAUUCUUGGAAUAAAUUAUAAACUGACGAGGUGUAAGCUUCUUCAUCAUUCGUCGGUUGUUUCACGUAUGAAAUUCUUUAAAAUCAUGUUCCUCGAUAAGCAUCCCGUAGUCAAAUCGCUUCUUGUCAAGUUUAAUCCCAUCGAGUAUCAAGGAACCGGUUCUUUUAGUCGGUAAUUGCAAAAAAUCCGGCAUUUCUUCGCCGUCCACCCGGUAGGAAAGUUUCACGUGUGGGGUACCUUAAUGAUGCACCCGGUUGGAUCUCACGAAAAGUCCACUCUCAUCGUGCAUGGUGACCAUCCAUUGAACGAAGUUUUUUGCUCGGCUCCAAGUACAAGACAGAGCCAGAAAGGAGAGCAAUCAUUGAUACUCGAUCCUCAUUCCACCAUCAUUAUAAAAAAAUUUCAGUUUUCCAAAAAUUCAUGCGUACCAUUGUUCCUUAAAAUUCUAAAUUAUAGAAAGUUCUCUCUGAAAGCGUAGGGGUAGCUCUAGCGUGAAACUCGGCUAUUUCUCGCUUGGCAAAGACUCGCCGAAUUCGAAAUCAUAAUUUUAAUGAAAGCGGUACGCGAACUCCGAAAAUAAUGGUCAAC
Osmia bicornis bicornis is the source of this 3965-nucleotide RNA transcript. RefSeq lists it as uncharacterized. NCBI's taxonomy places the organism in Eukaryota, Metazoa, Arthropoda, Insecta, Hymenoptera, Megachilidae. The record is from RefSeq and is a predicted model, not a curated record. The transcript has 3 exons.